RNAcentral lists this microRNA (22 nucleotides) under Panagrellus redivivus. Its description in RNAcentral is "prd-miR-7909-3p". Lineage: Eukaryota; Metazoa; Nematoda; Chromadorea; Rhabditida; Panagrolaimidae. The record is from miRBase by way of RNAcentral.
UCCAGAGCAAUAACAAUCCUGU